This 584-nucleotide ribosomal RNA is filed under the name uncultured eukaryote. Its description in RNAcentral is "eukaryotic LSU rRNA". The stretch from base 230 to 383 matches the Rfam family "5.8S ribosomal RNA". The record is from RNAcentral.
UAAAAGUCGUAACAAGGUUUCCGUAGGUGAACCUGCGGAAGGAUCAUUAAAGAGUAAGGGUGCUCAGCGCCCGACCUCCAACCCUUUGUUGUUAAAACUACCUUGUUGCUUUGGCGGGACCGCUCGGUCUCGAGCCGCUGGGGAUUCGUCCCAGGCGAGCGCCCGCCAGAGUUAAACCAAACUCUUGUUAUUUAACCGGUCGUCUGAGUUAAAAUUUUGAAUAAAUCAAAACUUUCAACAACGGAUCUCUUGGUUCUCGCAUCGAUGAAGAACGCAGCGAAAUGCGAUAAGUAAUGUGAAUUGCAGAAUUCAGUGAAUCAUCGAAUCUUUGAACGCACAUUGCGCCCCUUGGUAUUCCGAGGGGCAUGCCUGUUCGAGCGUCAUUACACCACUCAAGCUAUGCUUGGUAUUGGGUGCCGUCCUUAGUUGGGCGCGCCUUAAAGACCUCGGCGAGGCCUCACCGGCUUUAGGCGUAGUAGAAUUUAUUCGAACGUCUGUCAAAGGAGAGGACUUCUGCCGACUGAAACCUUUAUUUUUCUAGGUUGACCUCGGAUCAGGUAGGGAUACCCGCUGAACAUAAGCAU